RNAcentral lists this long non-coding RNA (999 nucleotides) under Mustela putorius furo (domestic ferret). RNAcentral describes it as "lncRNA (ENSMPUG00000025702.1)". Lineage: Eukaryota; Metazoa; Chordata; Mammalia; Carnivora; Mustelidae. The record is from RNAcentral.
CAAGGUCUGUAGCCAGAAAACACUAAGAUCUGAAUGCUUAUUUUGGGUUCCCCCAAAAACGCCUAUGUUGAAUCCUAAUGCCCUAUGUGCUGAUAUUAGGAGGCAGGAUCUUUAGGAUGUGAUCAGGUCAUGAGAAUGGAGCCAUGAUGAGUGGGAUUAGUGCCCUCAUCAAAUAGAACCCAUACAGCUCCAUACAGCUCUCACCCCUUCUGCCAUAUAAGAACACAAGGAGAGGGUGGCUUUUUAUGAACCAGACGAAAGGCCUUUGCCACAAUGACAUCAGCCUUCUGAACUGAGAGAAAUCAGUCUCUGAUGUUGAGACCCUGUCUUGGUUUUUGGCUCUAGCCCUCCAAACAGAUGAAGACAACGUACGACAGUGUGGAAGAAUAGUCAUCUUCCAGUUGUAGGCCUGGGGGUUCUGGAGCAUUGUUCAGGCACAACCAAGGCUGCACAUUUAGGACCCAGGUGAAACUGAAGUAUCGCUUGACUAAAACUGUGCCUCUGGAGAUCCCCUUAUCGUUGUGACUCCUCAACAGCAAUGUUCGUGACUUCCUGUUGCUCAUUGUUGUCUUCGUCAUGCCCCUCUCUGUCCCUGAUGAGAGAGAGUACAAGCAAGGGGAGCAGCAGGCAGAAGGAGAAGUGGAGCCCAAUGCGGGGCUGGAUCCCAGGACUCUGAGGUCAUGACCUGAGCUGAAGGCAGAAGACGGAGCCAUCCAGGUGCCCUGCAAGCCUUUCUUUGAGUUUUCUCUACUGGACUUUUAGUUGCAUGAGAACAAGAACCGCAGCUAUUUUGUUCCCCAUUUUAUCUCUGGGCCCUAAUGGAGUCCUUACCAUGUAAGGAAUAAAUGACUGUAUACUGAAUAAAAUAAUUUGUAUGAAUUUGAAACCAGAUCUGUCUGAACCCAUAGUUCAUGCUCUCCUCCUUUGUAUCACAUGACUUUCUUUCCCCUAAAAACUAACAGGUUUCUGACUUUUUAAAAAGUAAAUAGGAAAGCACCU